This 393-nucleotide ribosomal RNA is filed under the name uncultured bacterium. RNAcentral's name for it is "partial 16S ribosomal RNA". It matches the Rfam family "Bacterial small subunit ribosomal RNA", at positions 523 to 918 of the family's 1533-position model. The record is from RNAcentral.
AUACGGAGGAUCCGAGCGUUAUCCGGAUUUAUUGGGUUUAAAGGGAGCGUAGGCGGACGCUUAAGUCAGUUGUGAAAGUUUGCGGCUCAACCGUAAAAUUGCAGUUGAUACUGGCUGUCUUGAGUACCGUAGAGGUGGGCGGAAUUCGUGGUGUAGCGGUGGAAUGCUUAGAUAUCACGAAGAACUCCGAUUGCGAAGGCAGCUCACUGGACUGCAACUGACACUGAUGCUCGAAAGUGUGGGUAUCAAACAGGAUUAGAUACCCUGGUAGUCCACACAGUAAACGAUGAAUACUCGCUGUUUGCGAUAUACAGUAAGCGGCCAAGCGAAAGCAUUAAGUAUUCCACCUGGGGAGUACGCCGGCAACGGUGAAACUCAAAUGAAUUGACGGGG